RNAcentral lists this ribosomal RNA (335 nucleotides) under uncultured eukaryote. Its description in RNAcentral is "SSU rRNA". It matches the Rfam family "Eukaryotic small subunit ribosomal RNA", at positions 594 to 945 of the family's 1831-position model. The record is from RNAcentral.
AUAGCGUAUAUUAAAGUUGUUGCAGUUAAAAAGCUCGUAGUUGAACUUCUGUACGUGUCCGGUUCUGGCUUCGGUCAAGCCGUGACGCGUGCAUCCGCUUGCAAACCUGGACUGGCCUUUACUGGUCAACCAGGGGAGUAGGCCUUUUACUUUGAAAAAAUUAGAGUGUUUCAAGCAGGCAAUGGCUCGAAUACAUUAGCAUGGAAUAAUGGAAUAGGACUUUUGUCCAUUUGGUUGGUUAUUGGACAUGAGUAAUGAUUAACAGGGACAGUUGGGGGCAUUAGUAUUUAAUUGUCAGAGGUGAAAUUCUUGGAUUUAUUAAAGACUAACUUAUG